AUGGAAACAGAGAUUUUGAGAGAGAUUUUCCUAGUGAGUAUCCUAUCUCAUUUUCCUCUUUUCCAUGAAUCUGUUACCGCUUUUAUGUUAUGUAAGUUGGAGUCGGUUAUCAUCUCCAUGAAUCUGAGCCAUUGCGUUUUCAGUUUGUUAUGGAAGGGCAUGAUUGAUUCAGAUGAAAGUUAA
Non-coding RNA from Vicia faba (fava bean), 183 nucleotides. Lineage: Eukaryota; Viridiplantae; Streptophyta; Magnoliopsida; Fabales; Fabaceae. The record is from the annotation of a GenBank genome assembly.